Molecule: non-coding RNA, 116 nt
Filed under: Pongo abelii (Sumatran orangutan)
Lineage: Eukaryota; Metazoa; Chordata; Mammalia; Primates; Hominidae
Source: RNAcentral
AUUGAAAAUGUGUUUAUUUACCUGAAGUAUGGGGGACAGAGUGGAUUGAUGUCAUGCAUUUUUGCAAACACAAUCCAUCAUUUAAAAUGAAAUACACUUGUACUGAAUUUUAAAAA